GGGCGGGUAGCUCAGUGGUAGAGCGUCUCGCUUACAACGAGAAGGCCAGAGGUUCAAUUCCUCUCCCGCCCA
Molecule: transfer RNA, 72 nt
Filed under: Candidatus Parcubacteria bacterium
Lineage: Bacteria; Candidatus Parcubacteria
Description: tRNA-Val
Rfam family: tRNA
About the family: Transfer RNA (tRNA) molecules are approximately 80 nucleotides in length. Their secondary structure includes four short double-helical elements and three loops (D, anti-codon, and T loops).
Source: RNAcentral